UACAGAGGGUGCAAGCGUUAAUCGGAAUUACUGGGCGUAAAGCGUGCGCAGGCGGUUUUGUAAGUCAGAUGUGAAAAUCCCCCGGGCUUAACCUGGGAACUGCGUUUGAAACUACAAGGCUAGAGUGUGGCAGAGGGGGGUGGAAUUCCACGUGUAGCAGUGAAAUGCGUAGAGAUGUGGAGGAACACCGAUGGCGAAGGCAGCCCCCUGGGUUAACACUGACGCUCAGGCACGAAAGCGUGGGGAGCAAACAGG
Molecule: ribosomal RNA, 255 nt
Filed under: uncultured bacterium
Lineage: Bacteria
Description: partial 16S ribosomal RNA
Rfam family: Bacterial small subunit ribosomal RNA
Source: RNAcentral